GUGUCACUAACCUCGGUGCAAAGUGUCGUUGAUGCUGGAUGCUCAAAUGACAUGGUAUCCGGAGACUGGAUUCUCUGCACUUUCGAGAGAUUUUUCCAUCCCGGAUUGAAACUUGUUUCCAUCCAUGGCCACCUAACCUGAAUUUCUUUGUCCGGUGAUGGCUGCGGGCGUCGUUGAUCGGGGAUGGAGGAAACCGGAUGACACCUGGUAGUGCUGUCAAGGAAGGUUCGGCGAGAUUGACCCAUUGGAGACGCUUUGAGCGGCCGGCUGGAAGUAAAAGGGGAUGGAGGGAGGGAGGGAGCUGUCAAGUUGGCUGGGGGACUGUAUUCGUGACGCAUACGAAUGGAACCGAAUCGGACGGCGGAGAUCGCACGGCGCCCAUCCCUGGCCAGUGGAAGUGCCGGCGAUGGGACGAGCCGGAGCUCCCUGUACGAAGGGACCAAAAUGCACGGUCGUUGGGCGCCUUUAACCGCCGUUUGUCUUGGGUCACGAUCAUGAGGAGGUGCACACCAAACGUGAGCCAUCGAGCAGUAGCAGGAAAACUGAGGGGGAAAAGAAAGGGAGAGCUAGGCGACGGUGCGCCAGCAACCCUGGACCAACAGGGACGCUGUAGCUAGUGCGUCAGCCAUCACCCUGUCAUCGUGCGGAACAAGAUGCACAGAUGCAUGUACCUGCCCUCAGCUUUAGGCCUAUCCUACUCCGGCCACAGUUUACCAAUUCACUGAACCGUCCCGUCCUUCUCUGGAGAUCGGUCGGAGACGGCUAUGGAGUGGUCUCGGGACUAUGUGGACCGAUGGGAUCGAUCACGGGAAGCAUUCCACCCAUGUGUAUACAUGGAUGAUUUGCAACAGUAGCGCCCACGGCCUGAGGGCAACUCAGCGCACGACCCGUGGCAAACGGACACGACCAUCCGCUUGCGGUCGUCGGUGCGCCCAAACAGCCCGC
Molecule: long non-coding RNA, 945 nt
Organism: Triticum aestivum (bread wheat)
Lineage: Eukaryota; Viridiplantae; Streptophyta; Magnoliopsida; Poales; Poaceae
Exons: 3
Source: RefSeq, a predicted model, not a curated record